RNAcentral lists this ribosomal RNA (263 nucleotides) under uncultured bacterium. RNAcentral's name for it is "partial 16S ribosomal RNA". It matches the Rfam family "Bacterial small subunit ribosomal RNA", at positions 793 to 1055 of the family's 1533-position model. The record is from RNAcentral.
GUCCACGCCGUAAACGAUGGGCGCUAGGUGUGGGCGGUGUCGACUCCGUCCGUGCCGAAGCUAACGCAUUAAGCGCCCCGCCUGGGGAGUACGGCCGCAAGGCUAAAACUCAAAGGAAUUGACGGGGGCCCGCACAAGCAGCGGAGCAUGUGGUUUAAUUCGACGCAACGCGAAGAACCUUACCAGGGCUUGACAUGCACGGGAAAACCGUGGAAACACGGUCCCCCGCAAGGGUCCGUGCACAGGUGGUGCAUGGCUGUCGU